CAAUAGCGUAUAUUUAAGUUGUUGCAGUUAAAAAGCUCGUAGUUGGAUUUCGGUUAAGAGCGACCGGUCCGCCGUUUGGUGUGCACUGGUUGGUUUUAACUUCCUGUAGAGGACGUGCUCUGGGUUUAACGACCUGGACUCGGAGUCUACGUGGUUACUUUGAAAAAAUUAGAGUGUUCAAAGCGGGCUUACGCUUGAAUAUUUCAGCAUGGAAUAACACUAUAGGACUCCUGUCCUAUUUCGUUGGUCUCGGGACGGGGGUAAUGAUUAAGAGGAACAGUUGGGGGCAUUCGUAUUUCAUUGUCAGAGGUGAAAUUCUUGGAUUUAUGAAAGACGAACUUCUGCGAAAGCAUUUGCCAAGGAUGUUUNCAUUA
This 374-nucleotide ribosomal RNA is filed under the name uncultured eukaryote. Its description in RNAcentral is "partial 18S ribosomal RNA". It matches the Rfam family "Eukaryotic small subunit ribosomal RNA", at positions 592 to 975 of the family's 1831-position model. The record is from RNAcentral.